This 465-nucleotide ribosomal RNA is filed under the name uncultured Klebsiella sp. RNAcentral's name for it is "bacterial SSU rRNA". It matches the Rfam family "Bacterial small subunit ribosomal RNA", at positions 338 to 795 of the family's 1533-position model. Lineage: Bacteria; Pseudomonadati; Pseudomonadota; Gammaproteobacteria; Enterobacterales; Enterobacteriaceae. The record is from RNAcentral.
ACUACGGGGGGCUGCAGAGGGGAAUAUUGCACAAUGGGCGCAAGCCUGAUGCAGCCAUGCCGCGUGUGUGAAGAAGGCCUUCGGGUUGUAAAGCACUUUCAGCGGGGAGGAAGGCGGUGAGGUUAAUAACCUCAUCGAUUGACGUUACCCGCAGAAGAAGCACCGGCUAACUCCGUGCCAGCAGCCGCGAUAAUACGGAGGGUGCAAGCGUUAAUCGGAGUUACUGGGCGUAAAGCGCACGCAGGCGGUCUGUCAAGUCGGAUGUGAAAUCCCCGGGCUCAACCUGGGAACUGCAUUCGAAACUGGCAGGCUAGAGUCUUGUAGAGGGGGGGAGAAUUCCAGGUGUAGCGGUGAAAUGCGUAGAGAUCUGGAGGAAUACCGGUGGCGAAGGCGGCCCCCUGGACAAAGACUGACGCUCAGGUGCGAAAGCGUGGGGAGCAAACAGGAUUAGAUACCCUAGUAGUC